Balaenoptera acutorostrata (minke whale) is the source of this 2327-nucleotide long non-coding RNA. RefSeq lists it as uncharacterized. Lineage: Eukaryota; Metazoa; Chordata; Mammalia; Artiodactyla; Balaenopteridae. The transcript is spliced from 4 exons. The record is from RefSeq and is a predicted model, not a curated record.
CUCUGAGUCAGGAUCCUUGUUGCUGGAGUCGGCUCUGGCCCAGGGAAGGAGGCUUCCCUCUGUUCUGUGCUUCCGUUUCCUUCUCUACCUCCUGAAAAAGCAGCCCAAACAGACUAAGACAGACUCAUGCAGAUGGAAGACGAUGUGAGGGCACAGAGAGAAGGCAGCUGUCUACAAGCCAAGGAGAGAGGCCUCCGCAGUAACUGACCCUGCCCACACCUUGAACUUGGACUUCCAGCCUCCAGAACUCCGGGUCCUCGAGAUGCUCCAGCCCCGCCUGGUUAUCUUGUGAGCUGCCGAAGGCCCACGCUCCCCCUGCCGCAGCUCCGUCCGCGUGUGAUUACAUCUUUCCUCGGUGUUCUGAGCCUUAAGUUACAGAUGCAGGGAUGAUGCGUUACAAAACCAAACAAAUCAGUCCUUAGGACAGGCGACUCAGGCAAAUCAACCAUCACCACCACAAGAAAACAAGCUUUCAAACCCACAAGAGAAGAUUGUAAUGCCUUCCUAACAACAUUGCUUUAUUGACGCAAGGCAAGGAAAACUACAUUAAAUUCUAUUGAUUCUCUUUGAGAUCUAAUAAUAUGCUUUAUUCAGAUCUUAUUCACAUCCCUCUUCUUCCACGGGUCUAUCUCAGGAGCUGAAAUUGGCCAGUUACAAAACAGAAUUGGUUCUGCUGUCAUUGGAAGUCACAGAGGCAAACGUGUUUUCGAACACAAAAUCUACCAUGCUUUCUUUGGGAAACAAGGCACAGUUGGGAAAAAAAAAAAAAUCUCACUUCUAAACAAAAUUGAAAGCAUGGCUAACUUGAGAUUUAUUUGAUUACAGUCUUUCUCCGGGCUAAUCAGUUUUAGAACCCAUUCCUACUGGCACCAAUGAGCCAAUAAAAGAUCCAGCAGGAGAGAAGAAGUAUCACAUCAACUCAGAGAAACAAGGUUGUUCAUUUUUUUAAAAAGCAUUGAGUUAAUGUUUACACUGCUGAGUCAAGUUAUUUCUACAUAUGCUAUAGGCUUUGCAUCUCCAGAAUAUGUUAGCAUUAAGAGUAUGAUAAAUUGUACCUGACUUACUUGUGAAAAAUCAUCUUGAGAAAGGUUUUUUUCCCCUGGGAAAAUAUGGAAAUGACACAUGGUGUGUACAGCCAGAAACAGCAGAAGGAGAGGCAGGUUUUUAGCUGUCACAGUGGAUGGUUAAGAAUUUCGGAUUUGGGUCAGUGUCAUUAUGCUCAAGUCACUUCACCUCGAAACCUCAUUCUUCAUCUCUAGAAUAGGUUCCAAACCCAGGGUUUUCUGUAAAUAUUCAAUAGUAUAAUACAUCACAGAGUUCGACAUUAACCCUCCCAGAGGCCAAUAAGAAUCCAAUAAAUGCCAGCUUCUCUAUCAUAUUAUUACAGAAGAAUGCUUGCAUGCUUUACCUUUCGUCUGUGGAAAAAUCACAAGAAGGAUUAAGUUUGUUGAAAAGAACGGUGGGUCUUGGGCCCCCUUAGCACAUGUUUUCUCCAUCCUUUCUAAAAAGUGAUGUUAACAAGUUAACAGGUGUUAGGGAGAAGGUGGAGUAACCAGAACCCUCCUACGUUGCUGGUGGGAAUGUAAAAGAAUGUAGACCUUUUGGAAAACUCUUUGGUGGCGCCUCAAAAGCUAAACAGAUAUGGCCCAGCAGUUCCACCCCUAGGUAUAUACUCAGGAGAAUUGAAAACAUGCAUUCAUACAAAAACUGGUUCAUAAAUGUUCACCGCAGGAUUAUUUGCUGUAGUGGAAAGGUGGAAAGACACAGCUCGAGUGUCUAGCAACUAAUGAAUGGAUAAACAACAUAUGGAACAGCUAUGCCAGGAAAUUUUAUUUGGCAACAACGGACAGUGAGGUACGGACACAAGCUACAACAUGGAUAAACCCUGAAAACAUGAUGCUAAUGGAAAGAAACCCGUCACAAAAGGCUACAUACAGCAUGAUUUCAUUCAUAAGAAACAUCCAGAAUAAACAGCUCUAUAGAGACAGGAGGUAAUUAGUGGUUGCCUAGGGCUGGGAGGGACGGCAGGAAUGGGGAGUGACCACUAAUGGACACAGGGUUUCUUUUUGGAAGGAUGAAAAUUUUCUGGAAUUAGAGAGUGAUGAUGGUCAGACAACUUUGUGAAUAUUCUCAGAACACUGAACUGUACCUUCUAAAAUGGUGAAUUUUAUGCUUUAUGAAUUGUAUCUGGGAAAAAAAAUCAAUGAAUGCUUAAUGUGGAAAAUAAGAAAACAAGGAAACAAAAAUUGUCAUUGUAGCAUCCAGAGAUAAUCACUGCAAAUGCUUUGAUGUAGAUCCUUCCAGACUGAUGCAAAUAUAUACAUUUA